RNAcentral lists this ribosomal RNA (303 nucleotides) under uncultured bacterium. RNAcentral's name for it is "partial 16S ribosomal RNA". It matches the Rfam family "Bacterial small subunit ribosomal RNA", at positions 507 to 807 of the family's 1533-position model. The record is from RNAcentral.
AGCAGUCGCCGCGGUAACACCGAGGAUGCAAGCGUUGUCCGGAAUUAUUGGGCGUAAAGGGUGCGUAGGCGGUUUGAUAAGUCAUCUGUGAAAUCUCUGGGCUCAACCCAGAGUCUGCAGGCGAAACUGUCGAGCUUGAGUAUUGGAGAGGUGAGUGGAAUUUCCGGUGUAGCGGUGAAAUGCGUAUAUAUCGGAAGGAACACCUGUGGCGAAAGCGGCUCACUGGACAAUUACUGACGCUGAUGCACGAGAGCUAGGGGAGCAAACAGGAUUAGAUACCCCGGUAGUCCCUGUCUCUUAUAC